UGGGGAAUAUUGGACAAUGGGCGCAAGCCUGAUCCAGCCAUGCCGCGUGAGUGAUGAAGGCCCUAGGGUUGUAAAGCUCUUUCACCGGUGAAGAUAAUGACGGUAACCGGAGAAGAAGCCCCGGCUAACUUCGUGCCAGCAGCCGCGGUAAUACGAAGGGGGCUAGCGUUGUUCGGAUUUACUGGGCGUAAAGCGCACGUAGGCGGACUUUUAAGUCAGGGGUGAAAUCCCGGGGCUCAACCCCGGAACUGCCUUUGAUACUGGAAGUCUUGAGUAUGGUAGAGGUGAGUGGAAUUCCGAGUGUAGAGGUGAAAUUCGUAGAUAUUCGGAGGAACACCAGUGGCGAAGGCGGCUCACUGGACCAUUACUGACGCUGGGGUGCGAAAGCGUGGGGAGAAAACAGG
This 404-nucleotide ribosomal RNA is filed under the name Actinomycetes bacterium. RNAcentral describes it as "Actinobacteria bacterium partial 16S ribosomal RNA". It matches the Rfam family "Bacterial small subunit ribosomal RNA", at positions 355 to 776 of the family's 1533-position model. The record is from RNAcentral. Lineage: Bacteria; Bacillati; Actinomycetota; Actinomycetes.